UUAAUGGGACUGUUCUUCAAAUCUGAAACAGUUAUAGAGAAAUAGUCAUAACAAAUGAAAUGUGCAACUCAUCCAUGCUAGCUAAUGCAGGAGCAAGUUACAAAUCAGGAAGAACUGGGGAUGGUAGUGGUCUCAGACAGGGUUUACAACAACUUACUGCUACAUAUCAACUCCUUAUUAAACAGGCACUGAGAAUCAAGUCUUGAAAAACAGCUCAGGGGGCUAGAGAGAAACACAAUAACACAUUCUACAUUCUGCAAGAGAUUAACUACUGCUAUGCAAGGAUAAAUUCCCAUUGUCUGUGUGAGAACUCCUGCUCCAGAGAACAGCGGAUGCACUCUCCAAGGUAUGACACACAAACACAGAGCAGCAAAGGGCCUUGAUUGAUCAAGACAGCAUAAACAGAAUAGCCACAGUUUGGGUUCCUGAAUACUGUCAUCCUCAAGUGAUAAAGACAGCAGUCUUACAGGUAGGUAAAAUGAAUUAUUUUAAAAAAAUAUUUUAAAAUGUAUUUCUUUUUAAUUUAAAAAAUGUUUUUGAGUCUAGUCAUUUGAGCUAUUCAAAACUGAUUCAGAACAUAAGAGUGGAAAAAGAUAUCAGCUACCUGGUUGACACAAAGUCUGCUCAAAAAAGACACUUUCAGCCAGGUGUUCUUUUAUUCGUUUUUCCUCCUCUUCCUUUUGUUGUUGUUGUUCCUUUGCAGAUGGAAGCAGAGUAGCAAUAAUCUCCUUUUUCCCCAGUGCUUUCCUCUGGCUCUGCUCAGACACUUGGAGACGGAAUUUAUCUAUGACACCGUAGUAAGAAGCCCGAACGUCUCUGUGACGAAUCACACUGCAGGAAAACAACAUUUUCAAACAGAUGAACUGCUAAGAAUCAUGCCUAUUGAGAAUUACAUUCUAUAUAUCACAAAGUCUGCCCUCUGCCCCCCCUCCUUCAGAUAAACUGGAAUAAUCCAGACCUCCUCCACCACUCAAUGUUCUUGAAGACUUGAUCUUACCUCCUCUCUUCCCUCUUUAUGUUUACUUUAAUUCCCAAACAUAAAUGCUCUUGGCCAGUUAAGUCUUUAUCUCAAGCCAUCUUUACCCCUGCUGCCAAUUGAUGAAAAAUGAAUUAUCUGAAAGAUGCCCCCUCCUCCUUUAUCAAAGUUGUUUGAUGCUGGCCAGUGAUUUUAAAAGGACUGAGGGGACUGCAGUGGCCAGGGAAGGAAAGGAGUUGGGCAGGUGUUUGGCAAGCAACAGUCCGGCUUCUGGAGGAAACCAGGCUCAAAGCUUUACAAUUCUACUUUCUCAGAAGCAAAACUCAUUUUCCCUCUAUAGACAAGAGUCAGUUAGGGAUUUUCAAAAUCAGAAACCCACCACUGAGAGCAUGUUUGGAACCUAUAAAAAGCACAGCUUUAAAAUAGCACUGAUCAACAGCAAAACAGACCUCUGAGCAGUGCUGUGCUCAACUGCCUCUUCUCUGCAUUUGUGAUUCAUCAUGAGAAUACAUAUCUAGCUUUGAAAAGCUACAACAUUUGGGUUUUGAAGUGAUAUCAGCUCUUAGGGUAAAUAAGGAUUUCAACUAUUUUUCCAGAUAUUUUUUGUUAAAGGUUAUUCUAAGUUUCCAAGAUAACAGCAGUUGAUCUGAAGAACAUACAUACAAAGAAGCAGGUAGUCAUCUCAUGAGGGGGAAAAAAUGACUGUACCCUUAGAAACACAGAAUAGGAGUCUUAAAAUUGCUUCAAAAAACCAAUGUUUGUGAUACUGUAUACAUUAAAAUGCUGCAGGAAAUGGAUUUUUGUUUUCCAGUCCUUUUUUAAAGGAACUAUAUCACAUCAAGAUAUCUACAAGCAUGAGCACGUAGCCAGUGCUUGCAACUGGUAACUGGUUUGAAUGGACUAUUCACCACAGAAACAGAGACCAAGUCAUCCCCUCAGCAAGAGGCUGCAGUGAUGUUUUAUGUCACUCCAGAGGCAAAGGACAGUGCCUAUGACAGGCUUCCAGCAAGUGGAGUGUUGGCUGGGCAACUGCCUUCACUAAAACAAAAGGCUUUUUCCCCCCACAAGCCUAAUUCAUCCAGCUCUCAGCAUAUCAGCACAGCAGAUCAACUCUGAUUUCUUCCUUUAACACUUCCUUUUAAAUUGGUGUUCCUACUCCUAGUGCCAUGGUACCAACUACCAACCUAAACAGAAUCUUUACAUAACACUGUGCUAGGAGAACAUGUAUCUGCUGCCAAGCAAGGAGAUAUUUUCUGCAGACCCUUAUAAACAGAUACAUUCUCCUGUUUCUUUUUAGAGAUCAUUGCAUAAUUGGAAGCUCUGUAGAAUAUCUGUUUAUCUGGCAAAUGGCCACACUUGCAUAGUACUGCUCAUAUCCUAGCAGUAAACACUGUCCUUAGACAGCAACCACUGGAGUGGGAUGGGGGGUUUUGCUGCACAGAAAAAUCCCUUGGAACAUGUGUCUGCCUUAUUUUCCUUUAUUUAAUAAAACCCAUUUGUUUCACCAAAUGUAA
This is a long non-coding RNA of Melospiza melodia melodia, 2490 nucleotides long. RefSeq lists it as uncharacterized. The transcript is spliced from 2 exons. The record is from RefSeq and is a predicted model, not a curated record. NCBI's taxonomy places the organism in Eukaryota, Metazoa, Chordata, Aves, Passeriformes, Passerellidae.